UGGGGAAUAUUGGACAAUGGGGGCAACCCUGAUCCAGCAACGCCGCGUGAAUGAAGAAGGCCUUAGGGUUGUAAAGUUCUUUAGUCUUAGAGCAAGUUAUAUGUAUAAAUAGUAUAUAUAAUUGAGAGUAUAGGAAGAAUAAGCACCGGCUAACUACGUGCCAGCAGCCGCGGUAAUACGUAGGGUGCGAGCGUUAAUCGGAAUUACUGGGCGUAAAGGGUGAGUAGGCGGAUAUAUAAGUUAGAUGUGAAAGCCCUGGGCUUAACCUGGGAGUUGCAUAUAAUACUGUAUAUCUAGAGUUUGUAAGAGGGGCGUAGAAUUCCAAGUGUAGCAGUGAAAUGCGUAGAGAUUUGGAGGAAUACCGAUGGCGAAGGCAGCGCCCUGGGAUAGAACUGACGCUGAGGCACGAAAGCGUGGGUAGCAAACAGGAUUAGAUACCCGCGUAGUCC
Molecule: ribosomal RNA, 449 nt
Filed under: uncultured bacterium
Lineage: Bacteria
Description: bacterial SSU rRNA
Rfam family: Bacterial small subunit ribosomal RNA
Source: RNAcentral